GGGAUUUAUGCACCUUAGACAUAAUAAUACAAGUGAUAGCGACCACUUAAAAAGCUUA
This 58-nucleotide non-coding RNA is filed under the name unclassified sequences. The record is from RNAcentral.